This 494-nucleotide ribosomal RNA is filed under the name uncultured Desulfobulbus sp. RNAcentral describes it as "bacterial SSU rRNA". It matches the Rfam family "Bacterial small subunit ribosomal RNA", at positions 894 to 1382 of the family's 1533-position model. The record is from RNAcentral. Lineage: Bacteria; Pseudomonadati; Thermodesulfobacteriota; Desulfobulbia; Desulfobulbales; Desulfobulbaceae.
CAGAAACUUAAAGGAAUUGACGGGGGCCCGCACAAGCGGUGGAGUAUGUGGUUUAAUUCGAUGCAACGCGAAGAACCUUACCUGGUCUUGACAUCCCGGAGACCCUUAGGAAACUAGGGGGUGCUUCCAUCUGGAAGAAUCUGGAGACAGGUGCUGCAUGGCUGUCGUCAGCUCGUGUCGUGAGAUGUUGGGUUAAGUCCCGCAACGAGCGCAACCCUUGCCUUUAGUUGCCAGCAGUUCGGCUGGGCACUCUAAAGGGACUGCCGGUGUUAAACCGGAGGAAGGUGGGGAUGACGUCAAGUCCUCAUGGCCUUUAUGACCAGGGCUACACACGUACUACAAUGGCCGAUACAAAGGGCAGCGACACUGCGAGGUGAAGCCAAUCCCGUAAAAUCGGUCUCAGUCCGGAUUGGAGUCUGCAACUCGACUGCGUGAAGUCGGAAUCGCUAGUAAUCGUGAAUCAGAAUGUCACGGUGAAUACGUUCCCGGGCCUU